GCUGCUAACCAAUCAGGCCCUGGGACUCGGGGCAAGAGAGCAAGGUGAGGAGAGGAGUUAUUCUUCUCACUGCUCACCCUCUGGUCCAGAUUUCUCUUUGGUAGAGACCUGAGCGCUCUGAGAGGUACAAUAUCCUGACAUACCAAGGAUUUUUGGUUGUGCUGUCUUCCUGAGGUUGUGUGGAGUCGACCAGUCAUGGAGCAAGAACCUUCUAAAGUCACUCCCAAGGAACCUGCUCUGAGCAUCAAGAAGUCAGGCAAAUCCUCCACACGCAGCCAGGUCUCCAAAAACGUGCUGUACUUUCUCAUCAGUCGACAACUGGGGAGGCCCAGACAUGACGUGGACCUGGCACAGUGGGUGUGGAUGCUCUCAUAAGCGACACCAGGGUGGAGUUGGCAUUUACUAAGGGGUCCUGAGACUUUGAUGCUUAUUCCUGCCCAGGAUUUUGAUAAUAAAUUAAAUUAGAACAAACCCCUCCUCCCAUAUUUCAGCCAUUAAAAUAGAAUCUGUAAUUGCA
Microcebus murinus (gray mouse lemur) is the source of this 517-nucleotide long non-coding RNA. RefSeq lists it as uncharacterized. NCBI's taxonomy places the organism in Eukaryota, Metazoa, Chordata, Mammalia, Primates, Cheirogaleidae. The record is from RefSeq and is a predicted model, not a curated record.